GCCUUCGUGGUGUAGUGGUCAGCACACUUAACUAGUAAUCGAGAGGUCCGUGGUUCGAUUCCCAGCGAAGGCG
RNAcentral lists this transfer RNA (73 nucleotides) under Stegodyphus mimosarum. RNAcentral describes it as "tRNA-Thr for anticodon AGU". It matches the Rfam family "tRNA". From Rfam's summary of the family: Transfer RNA (tRNA) molecules are approximately 80 nucleotides in length. Lineage: Eukaryota; Metazoa; Arthropoda; Arachnida; Araneae; Eresidae. The record is from Rfam by way of RNAcentral.